Molecule: ribosomal RNA, 196 nt
Filed under: uncultured bacterium
Lineage: Bacteria
Also listed under: 1 other name
Description: partial 16S ribosomal RNA
Rfam family: Bacterial small subunit ribosomal RNA
Source: RNAcentral
UCUACGGGAGGCAGCAGUAGGGAAUCUUCCGCAAUGGACGAAAGUCUGACGGAGCAACGCCGCGUGAGUGAUGAAGGUCUUCGGAUCGUAAAACUCUGUUGUGAGGGAAGAACAAGUAUUGUUCGAACAGGGCAGUACCUUGACGGUACCUCGCCAGAAAGCCCCGGCUAACUACGUGCCAGCAGCCGCGGUAAUA